RNAcentral lists this long non-coding RNA (866 nucleotides) under Dermacentor andersoni. RNAcentral's name for it is "uncharacterized LOC126523297". Lineage: Eukaryota; Metazoa; Arthropoda; Arachnida; Ixodida; Ixodidae. The record is from RNAcentral.
CCGCAGCCGUCGUCUUCGCGUAUCGCGGCGCGCAGCGCGCCAUUCAAAGCCAGGCCUGCGGGCAUCGCCGACGCGUCUUCUUGUAAACGCGCCCCUCCGACGCUUCUCCUACCCUUACCCGCCCAAAACCAGAACCAGCAAGAGGCGUCGCUCGAAGCAUCGGGCAGAAGUGCAGUAGACGCUCGCGCAUAUUGCUGCCUCCUCUUCCGUUCCUCGUAAGAGUAUCCACCUCCGUUCCGCAUACCACGCAGCGUACUGCGCGCGAAGACGGCAUCGGAUCGCCUUAUUCGAUUUGACCCCAACCCCGUGACCCGGAAAAGCCAGAUUCGAGAAGAAGACAUCGAAACCCAUUCCUUUCUUCGACAAGGUGGACACACGAUCAGGCUGCCGUGGAUAGUGCGGGAAAUACCGGCGGCUACGUCGACUCAGCAUCACCGGAGGACGCUGCCUUAACAUUUGCAUAAGUGCACCGCGGCGCCAUAAGUGCUCGUGGUGGGAGUGAGGUGUGUGCUGCAGCCCCCCAUCACCGACCUGGUUACUCACGUCGACGUUCUCCUUCGAACUCCUACCGGCCUGAUAUGGACAUUUGCCACGGUUGCUAAAUAAGAUCCACAAACAGGCAUCCCUUAACAGGUUUCCAAUUGCAAUGGGUGGUCGUAAGCAGCCGGCAGGUGCAUCGCCUAUCAUCAGUCUUCUCUUCAUCACAGCUUGCACUGGUCAGCAGCUGAAUGCUGUAGAAACCAAUGGAGUGUUCUUUUCAGGACUCCCUAGAGCUCCAUCGGAAAUCAAUGCCAUCACCGCGAAAGGGGCCGACAUUUCAGGAAACACACUCGGAAGAGGAUUCCUCGAGAAAUUCAGUAAGGACA